AUGCUGCCUCCUGCGCCCUGUCGCGUGCGCCCGCCCGGGCCUCAUCUCCGACUACCGCUAGCUCGUCCACCAUCGUCUGCUCCCAGCAGCCCCAUGCGCGACCUCGUGCACCGCGCCCAGUCCCGUGUCCACUACGCCCCGGUGCGCUGGCUUGCCCGGCCGUCCGCCCGCUCGCUCGGCCGCACGCUCACGCGUGCCGCACCGCAGUCGCCCGCGGCCUUGCCGUUGUGUUGCUGCUCCCUGUACUACUGUUGCUUUUGCGUACUGCCAUGGCGUCGGACGCGGUUUUUUACCUUCGCGUUCCGUCUGUAG
Molecule: ribosomal RNA, 312 nt
Filed under: Triticum aestivum (bread wheat)
Lineage: Eukaryota; Viridiplantae; Streptophyta; Magnoliopsida; Poales; Poaceae
Description: partial small subunit ribosomal RNA
Source: RNAcentral